GAGGCUAUAGCUUGGUGGUAGGGUGUAUGUUUAGCAUGCACAAGGUCUUGGGUUCGAGCCCCAGUAUCUCCA
Molecule: transfer RNA, 72 nt
Filed under: Camelus ferus (Wild Bactrian camel)
Lineage: Eukaryota; Metazoa; Chordata; Mammalia; Artiodactyla; Camelidae
Rfam family: tRNA
About the family: Transfer RNA (tRNA) molecules are approximately 80 nucleotides in length.
Source: Rfam by way of RNAcentral